AGGCCGCCUGCUCGUGAUCGUCUUCUCACCCUUCACGCGGCAGGCCGAAGAGGCCCCCGCGCGUUCGGAUCGCGCGGGGGCCUCUU
Molecule: non-coding RNA, 86 nt
Filed under: Streptomyces olivoverticillatus
Lineage: Bacteria; Bacillati; Actinomycetota; Actinomycetes; Kitasatosporales; Streptomycetaceae
Description: sodF sRNA
Rfam family: sodF sRNA
About the family: Identified in Streptomyces coelicolor. It is produced from sodF mRNA by cleavage of about 90 nucleotides from its 3'UTR.
Source: Rfam by way of RNAcentral